UUUCUUUUGUUCUUUUUUUUAGCUUCCGCUUGUGCGUCUUUGUUAUCGGGUGCUGGAUCAAGAACACUAUCGCUUGUGUUGAAGUUCAUUUACUACGCUUUUUUACCCGAAUGAACGACUGUCGAAGUGCUCUUUCGGAGCUUGCGCAUCUGUAGCGGCCAUCUUGUAGGCUUUGGAAAAGAAUGGCGACCAUGGCGCACAAUCGAAGAUCUUAGUUCGAAACGGGUGUUUCGUUUGUGCUCAGUUUCACCUCACGCGAUUGACCUAGGCAGCGCUGCGUCAUCAUCCACGCCCAGGGGCUGACGACUCGACGCAGCCUAGGCCAGUCACGUGAGGUGAAACUGGUCGCAAACUGAACGCGCAUUUCGAACAACAAUCUCAGAUAGUGUGUCAUGUUACAUACACUGCAGUAAGUAUCUGCACCGCUAUAUUAAAGACAUUCGUCUUCACUAGUCAACCUUUUGUCGGGACUAGUUGCUCCUUCGGCGUAAACGCUACCUAUGCGUCGAAACAUCUCAAGCAUGCUUACUACAGCCACGCAGUGAAUGAGCUGUUAACCUUCACGUCGCGAGCCGCUAGCAAAUGUGCGAGUAGCGUUCAUGGUGCCCUCGGUGUCCGCAGAGUGACGCCUACUAUUAGGACAGAUAUCUCGGCCCUCUGCCUCGUUCUACAGGACGAUGGAUACUGUCCUGGCGGCGCUCUUCACCCACAUCGAGCGAUUGUCAGAUCAGGAGCUGCAAUCCCUGGACGCCGAGGACGUGCCUUGGCUCCCGCGACUCGGAGUCCUGCCGCGGGAAAUCGCCAUCCGAGAAAUACGGCGCGUUCUGGAAGGCACCUACAGCGUGCCUCAAUGCCUGGAGCGCAUAGCCUGGCUCCACUGCUGGCUGAUGCCCAGGAACAAGAUUGAAUCGUGGCUGCUGUACCGCCUCGGCCGCUCUGUGCUGCAGGCCGACUAUCCGACGCUUCUCCGGCGCUUGACGCGCCGACUGCCGCUCCCCGGCUACCGCACGAUGUUGCGCGUGAACCACAGCGAAGGGACGUACUACGCUUGCAUGAUAAACAGUGGCCCGUAUUUGCGUGCACGGGAUCACGAAGUGGUGUGCUUGGUGCUCUGGAGGGGCCAGUGCUUCAUGGCCGCGCACGCUGCUCGAACCGACGUUGCGCACCGACUCGCGGUCGCCCUGCACAGGGUCCUGGGCGGCGACGUCGUGGAACUUCUACAGGGUGACUACAGAGACCCCGUUUCAACGUUCUCCGUGGCUCGCCUAAAUGCCGCAUUCCGAGCACGUUACUAUUAGGUGGCGAUUAAGGUUCCGCAAAACAGCUUAUUUCGAGUCCUGACUUACGAAGAGAAUCGGGCAAAACCACAAGGCAGGCACUGCGGCGGAGUCGCAUGACAAUUGGAAAAAAGUACGCAGGGCAGCAUUCCUUCAAGCUAGCAGAACUUCGACGCAAUGGACCAAAGCUUCUGCAUACAUGCUGCGUCCGAGGUAUUCCCACGAUAUCACCGGAAAUAAUUCGUCAGGGAGACUUUUCAAGCACCGGGACGGCAUACGAAAGAAGCUGGAUACCACCUUUCCAUCAAAAGUGCAAGAUCUACCUGGACAGCAUUAUUCUGGACGAACCCUUAUGGAACCCCACUAGUUUUUAUAUGGCGUGACUCCUUUGCAGUUUCCGAGAAACAUUUGCCAGUUGAGAUGCAUGACAUGAGACCGCGGAGCGGGAUUGCCGCUUAACAAUCGUCCCACUACCAAAGCCACAUAUUGCGAAGAAUUGCGCUCUUAGACCCCAGGUCUAUCCCCCCCCCCCCUCCCCUAAAUUUCGACGGGCAAUCGCACUAUUAGAGUUUCCAUCGUGCCUUGCGACAGAUUGCUUGACCAUAUGAGUGGCAUAGAACAUUUCUAAAACUGUGUUGAUUGGGCACGAGGCACGAAUUUUUGACGUGGCCACACAGGUAACCGGCCGAAAUGUGAGAAUAUCACUGACGCGAGAAUAUUAGUGGUCGUAUGCGCAAACGCCGUCAGGAGCUCUCAUACCAGCUUUUAUCCAUUGACAGAAAAUGAAUGUAUCUAUAUAUUUACAGGUGUACUUACCUUUUGCGGGUAACCGCUUUUCACCGUAUAACAAAUGUUCUGAAUCAGGGUGUGAGACCGGGCUAGUUGGUAUUCAAUUUCUUGAGUGACUAGCGCAAAAGCCUGUAUUUAGCGCAAUGGUUGUCACGGGAUACAACAUUAUGCACGUGUCCUUGU
Long non-coding RNA from Dermacentor albipictus, 2249 nucleotides. RefSeq lists it as uncharacterized. NCBI's taxonomy places the organism in Eukaryota, Metazoa, Arthropoda, Arachnida, Ixodida, Ixodidae. The record is from RefSeq and is a predicted model, not a curated record.